RNAcentral lists this ribosomal RNA (1431 nucleotides) under Piptocephalis fimbriata. RNAcentral describes it as "partial large subunit ribosomal RNA". It matches the Rfam family "Eukaryotic large subunit ribosomal RNA", at positions 115 to 1358 of the family's 3401-position model. The record is from RNAcentral. Lineage: Eukaryota; Fungi; Zoopagomycota; Zoopagomycetes; Zoopagales; Piptocephalidaceae.
UUUAAAUUGUGUAGGGGAGACCCUGUCACGAAUUGUAGUUUGAUGAGGUGAACUUGGUGGCAGCCUGGGUCUAAAUCUCUUGGAAAAGGGUAUCAUAGAGGGUGACAAUCCCGUCUAUGGCUCAGUCUGCUGUCCACCGUGUAAGUCGCCUUCAAAGAGUCGGGUUGUUUGGGAAUGCAGCCCUAAGCGGGUGGUAAAUUCCAUCUAAAGCUAAAUAUUCGUGAGAGACCGAUAGCGAACAAGUACCGUGAGGGAAAGUUGAAAAGCACUCUGGAGAGAGAGUCAAACAGUACGUGAAAUUGUUAACAGGGAAACGUUAGGCACCAGUACGCGCCUCACGUAGAAUCAUCCAUCGACCAAGGGCUUGCCCGGGACUAGUGAGUCUAACCAACCAUUACUCUGGGCGUACCCGAGGGAGGCGGUGCUCUUCUGCGUGGGCGGGUCAACAUCAGUUAGGAUCGUCGUAAACGGCUUGGGGGAAGGUAGACACGGAUUUCGGUCUGUGUAACUUAUAGCCCUCAUGUCCUACGGUGGUCUUGACUGUGGAGUCGCAAUCCGUGCUUUCCUUGUGGAGGCAGGCCCCAUUGUCUAUUACUUCCCUCUUGGCCUUGGCAGCUUGCUGACUGGGUCGGGGUAAGGGAGGUAAUAGUGCGGUGUAAGGCUCUAACGGGUUACGGACGUUGGCGAAAUGGUUCUUAACGACCCGUCUUGAAACACGGACCAAGGAGUCUAACAUGUGUGCGAGUAUUUGGGUGCAAAACCCAUAUGCAUAAUGAAAGUAACAUCACUAAGGGAAGACGCCUGUGCCCUCCGGGGUGUGGGCCGCAUUCCCGACCGAUCCGCUUGCCCUCGUGGCGACGGGUUUGAGUAUGAGCAUACCUGUUAGGACCCGAAAGAUGGUGAACUAUGCCUGAGUAGGAUGAAGCCAGAGGAAACUCUGGUGGAGGUCCGUAGCGAUUCUGACGUGCAAAUCGAUCGUCGAACUUGGGUAUAGGGGCGAAAGACUAAUCGAACCAUCUAGUAGCUGGUUCCCGCCGAAGUUUCCCUCAGGAUAGCAGAAACGUUUGACAGUAUUAUGAGGUAAAGCGAAUGAUUAGAGGCCUUGGGGGCGGAAUGCCCUUAACCUAUUCUCAAACUUUAAAUAUGUAAGAGGUCCUUGUUACUUAAUUGAACUUGGGCAUUUGUAUGUACGUUUCUAGUGGGCCAUUUUUGGUAAGCAGAACUGGCGAUGUGGGAUGAACCAGACGGGAGGUUAAGGUGCCGGAAUGUACGCUCAUGUAGACACCACAAAAGGUGUUGGUUCAUCUAGACAGCAGGACGGUGGCCAUGGAAGUCGGAAUCCGCUAAGGAGUGUGUAACAACUCACCUGCCGAAUGAACUAGCCCUGAAAAUGGAUGGCGCUCAAGCGUACUACCCAAACCUCCCCGCCAA